UACGUAGGUGGCAAGCGUUAUCCGGAUUUACUGGGUGUAAAGGGCGUGUAGGCGGGGAAGCAAGUCAGAUGUGAAAACCACGGGCUCAACCUGUGGCCUGCAUUUGAAACUGUUUUUCUUGAGUACUGGAGAGGCAGACGGAAUUCCUAGUGUAGCGGUGAAAUGCGUAGAUAUUAGGAGGAACACCAGUGGCGAAGGCGGUCUGCUGGACAGCAACUGACGCUGAGGCGCGAAAGCGUGGGGAGCAAACAGG
This 253-nucleotide ribosomal RNA is filed under the name uncultured bacterium. RNAcentral describes it as "partial 16S ribosomal RNA". It matches the Rfam family "Bacterial small subunit ribosomal RNA", at positions 524 to 776 of the family's 1533-position model. The record is from RNAcentral.